CACUUCGGUCUGUGGCGGAUGAGUGAGUACACAUGAGAUCUGCCUCCAGGUCAGGGACAACAGCGGGAAACUGCUGCUAAUACCCUAUGUGCCUAAGGGUGAAUGAUUAAUUGCCUGGUGAUCAGCUCGCGUCCGAUCAGCUUGUUGGUAUAGUAAAAGCCUACCGGGCUCCGAUCGGUAGCUGGUCUGAGAUGAUGAGCAGCCACGCUGGUACUAAAACACGGCCCCUACUCCUACAGGAGGCAGCAGUGAGGAAUUUUCCGCGGUGGGCGAAAUCCUGACGGAGCGCGACCGCGUGGGGGAUGAACGCUCUGGUGUUGUAAACUCCUUUUCUCAGGGAAGAAUUACUGACGGUACCUGAAGAAUAAUCAUCGGCUAACUCCGUGCCAGCAGCCGCGAUACGACGGAGGAUGCAAGCGUUAUCCGGUAUUAUUGGGCGUAAAGCGUUCGUAGGUGGCUGUUCUAGUCUGCCGUUAAAGACCGGUCCUUAACUCCUGAACAACUGUGAAAACUGAACAGCUAUAUUAUGGUAGGAGUAAGGAGAAUUCCUGGUGUAGCGAUGAAAUGCGUAGAUAUCGGGAAGAACACCGGUGGCGAAGGCGCCUUACUGGGCCAUAACUGACACUGAACGACGACUGCUAGGGCAGCGAAAGGGAUUAGAUACUCCUGUAGUCCUAGCUGUCAACGAUGGAUACUAGGUGUUGCUCGUAUCGACUCGAGCAGUGCCGUAGCUAACGCGUUAAGUAUCCCGCCUGGGUAGUACGCACGCUAUUGUGAUACUCAGAGGUGUUGACGGGGGCCCGCACAAGCGGUGGAGUAUGUUGUUUUAUUCGAUGCGACGCGAAGAACCUUACGAGGGCUUGACUUGUCCAGAAUCUUGAGGAAACCUAAUACUGCCUUCAGGAGCUGGAACACAUGUGGUGCAUGGCUGUCGUCAGCUCGUGUCAUGAGAUUUUGGGUUAAGUCGCGCAAAGAGCGCAACUCUCGUCCUUAGUCGCUAUCAUUAAGUUGGGCACUUUAGGGAGACUGCGGGAGACAUACCGGAGGAAGGUGGGGAUGAUGUCAUGUUAGUAUGCCCUAUAUGUCCUGGGCUACACAUGUACUACAAUGGGAAGGACAGAGGGUAGCAAGCGCGCGAGUGCAAGCCUAUCCUAUAAACCUUUUCUCAGUUCAGAUCGCAGGGUGCAUCUCGCGUGCGUGAAGGGGGUAUCGCUUGUUAUCGCAUGUCAGCAUAGUGCGGUGAAUGCGUUCCCGGGCCUUGUACACACCGCCUGUCACACCAUGGAAGUUGGACAUGCCAGAUGUCAUUACUCUCAGUGCAAGGAGGGGGAUGCCGAUGCAUU
This 1343-nucleotide ribosomal RNA is filed under the name Tychonema decoloratum SABC011901. RNAcentral's name for it is "bacterial SSU rRNA". It matches the Rfam family "Bacterial small subunit ribosomal RNA". The record is from RNAcentral. Lineage: Bacteria; Bacillati; Cyanobacteriota; Cyanophyceae; Oscillatoriales; Microcoleaceae.